UCAUAUGCUUGUCUCAAAGAUUAAGCCAUGCAUGUCUAAGUCCACGCUUUGGUAAAGUGAAACCGCGAAUGGCUCAUUAAAUCAGCUACAAUUUAUUAGAUCGUACACUGUUACUUGGAUAACUGUGGGAAUUCUAGAGCUAAUACAUGCCACGAGUCUCUGACCUUCGGGUUAGAGCGCACUUAUUAGACCAAAACCUUCCGUGCUCUUGGGCACGAAACUUUGGUGACUCUGGAUAACCUUCUGUUGAUCGCAUGGCCUUGCGCCGGCGACGUAUCUUUCAAGUGUCUGCCCUAUCAACUUUCGAUGGUAGGAGAGAUGCCUACCAUGGUGAUAACGGGUAACGGGGAAUCAGGGUUCGAUUCCGGAGAGGGAGCCUGAGAAAUGGCUACCACAUCCAAGGAUGGCAGCAGGCGCGCAAAUUACCCACUCCCAGAUCGGGGAGGUAGUGACGAAAAAUAACAAUGCGGGACUCUAAGAGGCCCCGCAAUUGGAAUGAGUACACCUUAACUCGUUUAACGAGUAUCUAUUAGAGGGCAAGUCUGGUGCCAGCAGCCGCGGUAAUUCCAGCUCUAAUAGCGUAUAUUAAAGUUGUUGCAGUUAAAAAGCUCGUAGUUGGAUCUGGAGCGUAUGUAUGCUGUCGUCCGUGGACACGGAGGCUGUGUACAUAGCUCUUCUUGCCGGUGUCUGCUGUGGUGUUCUUAACUGAGCGCUGCAGUGGGACGGCACGUUUACUUUGAAAAAAUUAGAGUGCUCAAAGCAGGCAGAAUGCCUGGAUAGUGUUGCAUGGAAUAAUGGAAUAGGACCUCGGUUCUAUUUUGUUGGUUUUCGAGUUUGAGGUAAUGAUUAAGAGAGACGAACGGGGGCAUUCGUAUUGCGGUGUUAGAGGUGAAAUUCUUGGAUCGCCGCAAGACGGACUACUGCGAAAGCAUUUGCCAAGAACGCUUUCAUUAAUUAAGAACGAAAGUCAGAGGUUCGAAGACGAUCAGACACCGUCCUAGUUCUGACCAUAAACGAUGCCGACUAGCGAUUCGCAGUGGUUGCUUCUUGGACCCUGCGAGAAGCCUCCGGGAAACCAAAGUGUUUGGGUUCCGGGGGAAGUAUGGUUGCAAAGCUGAAACUUAAAGGAAUUGACGGAAGGGCACCACCAGGAGUGGAGCCUGCGGCUUAAUUUGACUCAACACGGGAAAACUCACUCGGUCCGGACACCGUAAGGAUUGACAGACUGACAGCUCUUUCUUGAUUCAGUGGAUGGUGGUGCAUGGCCGUUCUUAGUUGGUGGAGUGAUUUGUCUGGUUAAUUCCGAUAACGAACGAGACUCUAGCCUGCUAACUAGUGACACUGUUCGAGAUGCAGUGUGAACUUCUUAGAGGGACAAGUGGCGUAUAGCCACGCGAAAUUGUGCAAUAACAGGUCUGUGAUGCCCUUAGAUGUCCGGGGCUGCACGCGCGCUACAAUGAAGGAGACAGCGUGUUGUCCGAGCCCGCUAGGGCUGGGUAACCCGUUGAAACUCCUUCGUGAUUGGGAUUGUGGCUUGUAAUUAUUCUACAUGAACGAGGAAUUCCUAGUAAGCGCAAGUCAUAAGCUUGCGUUGAUUACGUCCCUGCCCUUUGUACACACCGCCCGUCGCUGCUACCGAUUGAAUGGUUUAGCGAGGUCCUCGGAUUGCUUAGGAAGUGGCACUUCACGGUGUUGCUUCGCUGAGUGAGAAGACGACCAAACUUGAACAUUUAGAGGAAGCAAAAGUCGUAACAAGGUUUCC
RNAcentral lists this ribosomal RNA (1762 nucleotides) under Paracatenula cf. erato. RNAcentral describes it as "SSU rRNA". It matches the Rfam family "Eukaryotic small subunit ribosomal RNA". The record is from RNAcentral. Lineage: Eukaryota; Metazoa; Platyhelminthes; Paracatenulidae.